Molecule: ribosomal RNA, 253 nt
Filed under: uncultured bacterium
Lineage: Bacteria
Description: partial 16S ribosomal RNA
Rfam family: Bacterial small subunit ribosomal RNA
Source: RNAcentral
UACGUAGGGUGCAAGCGUUAAUCGGAAUUACUGGGCGUAAAGGGCGCGUAGGCGGCUAGAUGUGUCAAAGGUGAAAUCCCUCGGCUCAACUGAGGAACUGCCUUUGAAACUGUCUGGCUUGAGGCCGGGAGAGGGUAGCGGAAUUCCCAGUGUAGCGGUGAAAUGCGUAGAUAUUGGGAGGAACACCAGUGGCGAAGGCGGCUACCUGGACCGGUUCUGACGCUGAGGCGCGAAAGCGUGGGUAGCAAACAGG